Long non-coding RNA from Mastomys coucha (southern multimammate mouse), 294 nucleotides. RefSeq lists it as uncharacterized. The transcript is spliced from 2 exons. The record is from RefSeq and is a predicted model, not a curated record. Lineage: Eukaryota; Metazoa; Chordata; Mammalia; Rodentia; Muridae.
CCAUUGUCCUGGUUCGAAUAGCAGCCACACUUUCUGCUCCUCGCGCUCCUUUCCACUGCUGUUUAGCAAGUGUACACCGGCAAUAGGCAUCCUCUUCCUGACCUUAAUGGAGGCUGACUCUAUUGCAAACAUGGAGAACCCAAGAUGGCCCUGUCUGCAGAGAGUCAUGUGGUAUAUAGAUCCAGAGCAAGCAUGGAGCAUCCCCAUUGGGCAUAUUACUUUAGCUGCCUACUACGUAGCAAGUUAUUCCAAACUUAGUGGUUUAGGUAAAUAUAAGUUUCUUUUGAGUCAGGA